UGGAGGCCGGCACCACAUGUUGAGAAGAAGGAGCCGACCACGAUGACCCAAGGUGAAGGCCAGGCCAAGGUGCCUACCACCAGGUUCCUGCUGACGCCAUCACCGUACCUGCAGAGGCCAGGCUCAGACCAUGCUCCUGUGUGUUUGCAAGAAGAAGCCAGUCACAGAAGACCAGCAGUACACGAUGUCUCGACAACAUCUUGAAGAGCAAACCCACAGAGAGACCGCAGAUUAGUGUCUGUUAAAGGAGAGGGGAAGGGAGAGUGAUUACUAGUGAAGGUUUUCUUAGAGUAGUGAAGAUAUUCUGAACUGAUUCUGGCAAUGCUUACAUCCCUAUAAAUAUGCUAAAAACCAGUAACCUGUGAGCUUUCUUUUUCCUUUUUUCCUUCCUUCCUUCCUUCCUUCCUUUCCUUCCUUCCUUUCUUCUCCCUCUCUCUCUCUCUCUCUCUCUCUCUCUCUCUCUCUCUCUCUCUCUCUCUUUCUUUUUCACAGUAUCUCACUUUGUAGCCCUGGCAGACCUCAGGAACUCACAGAGAUGCUUUUGUCUCUGGUGGGGUUAAAGGCAAGUACCACCACUGCCCCUGAGUCGUGUGUUAAUGGAGAAAACAAACAUUGGUUUAUUUAGUGGGGAGGAUGACAAGCAGGUGUGUAGG
Rattus norvegicus (Norway rat) is the source of this 653-nucleotide non-coding RNA. The record is from RefSeq and is a predicted model, not a curated record. Lineage: Eukaryota; Metazoa; Chordata; Mammalia; Rodentia; Muridae.